RNAcentral lists this transfer RNA (76 nucleotides) under Pontixanthobacter aestiaquae. RNAcentral describes it as "tRNA-Thr". It matches the Rfam family "tRNA". From Rfam's summary of the family: Transfer RNA (tRNA) molecules are approximately 80 nucleotides in length. Their secondary structure includes four short double-helical elements and three loops (D, anti-codon, and T loops). The record is from RNAcentral. Lineage: Bacteria; Pseudomonadati; Pseudomonadota; Alphaproteobacteria; Sphingomonadales; Erythrobacteraceae.
GCCGGUUUAGCUCAGUUGGUAGAGCAGUUGAUUUGUAAUCAUCAGGCCGCGCGUUCGAAUCGUGCAACCGGCACCA